AUUGAACGCUGGCGGCAGGCCUAACACAUGCAAGUCGAGCGGAUGAAGGGAGCUUGCUCCUGGAUUCAGCGGCGGACGGGUGAGUAAUGCCUAGGAAUCUGCCUGGUAGUGGGGGAUAACGUCCGGAAACGGGCGCUAAUACCGCAUACGUCCUGAGGGAGAAAGUGGGGGAUCUUCGGACCUCACGCUAUCAGAUGAGCCUAGGUCGGAUUAGCUAGUUGGUGGGGUAAAGGCCUACCAAGGCGACGAUCCGUAACUGGUCUGAGAGGAUGAUCAGCCACACUGGAACUGAGACACGGUCCAGACUCCUACGGGAGGCAGCAGUGGGGAAUAUUGGACAAUGGGCGAAAGCCUGAUCCAGCCAUGCCGCGUGUGUGAAGAAGGUCUUCGGAUUGUAAAGCACUUUAAGUUGGGAGGAAGGGCAGUAAGUUAAUACCUUGCUGUUUUGACGUUACCAACAGAAUAGGCACCGGCUAACUUCGUG
This 484-nucleotide ribosomal RNA is filed under the name uncultured bacterium. RNAcentral's name for it is "partial 16S ribosomal RNA". It matches the Rfam family "Bacterial small subunit ribosomal RNA", at positions 30 to 507 of the family's 1533-position model. The record is from RNAcentral.